AUGGGCCAAGCAAACAGAAAACCAACCGAAAACAGCUUAAAUUCAGCCCAGAGAGCAGUGAACAUUCAGCCAGGAGGCCUCGGCCCAGCCCAGGAGCAGCUCCCAGGGCAUUGCCCUGUGCCAGAGGGAGCAGGAUGGGCACAGAGCCAGCCCCAGCUCCCAGCCCGCCGGGAUCAGCACAUCCAGACCCCAGAGAGCAGAUCCACGAUCCCAGGGAACAAAUCCAGCAUCCCAGGGAGCAGAUCCAGCAUCCCAGGGAGCAGAUCCAGCAUCCCAGGGAGCAGAUCCACAAUGCCAGGGGACAGAUCCAGCAUCCCAGGGAGCAGAUUCAGCAUCCCAAGGAGCAGAUCCAGCAUCCCAGGGAGCAGAUCCACAAUCCCAGGGAGCAGAUCCACAAUCCCAGGGAACAAAUCCAGCAUCCCAGGGGGCAGAUCCAGAUCCCAGGGAGCAGAUCCAGAUCCCAGGGAGCAGAUCCAGACCCCAGAGAGCAGAUCCAGACCCCAGGGAGCAGAUCCAGAUCCCAGGGAGCAAAUCCAGCAUCCCAGGGAACAAAUCCAGCAUCCCAGGGAGCAGAUCCACAAUCCCAGGGAGCAGAUCCAGCAUCCCAGGGAACAAAUCCAGCAUCCCAGGGGACAGAUCCAGGACCCCAGGGAGCAAAUCCAGGACCCCAGGGAGCAAAUCCAGCAUCCAGGGAGCAAAUCCAGACCCCAGGGAGCAGAUCCAGACCCCAGGGAACAAACCCAGCAUCCCAAGGAGCAGAUCCAGGACCCCAGGGAGCAGAUCCAGAUCCCAGGGAGCAGAUCCAGCAUCCCAGGGAGCAGAUCCAGACUCAGGAAGCAAAUCCACAAUCCCAAGGAGCAGAUCCACAAUCCCAGGGAGCAGAUCCAGACCCCAGGGAGCAGAUCCAGCCAGAGACACCCUGGCACACCCCGGGGCAGAGCUGCCAGCCCUGCCCCGCCCGUGCCCAUCUCCACUGCCAACCCCGCCUCGAUUAGAAACCCGUUAAUUCCUCCCGUUAAUUCCUCCCGUUAA
Molecule: long non-coding RNA, 1032 nt
Filed under: Zonotrichia albicollis (white-throated sparrow)
Lineage: Eukaryota; Metazoa; Chordata; Aves; Passeriformes; Passerellidae
Description: lncRNA (ENSZALG00000005239.1)
Source: RNAcentral